RNAcentral lists this unclassified non-coding RNA (179 nucleotides) under uncultured Inocybe. RNAcentral's name for it is "sequence contains ITS2". Lineage: Eukaryota; Fungi; Basidiomycota; Agaricomycetes; Agaricales; Cortinariaceae. The record is from RNAcentral.
AUAUCUCAACCAUGCACGGAAGUGUUAUGGCUUGGACUUGGGGGACGAUGCAGGCUCCGACUCGGUUGGUCUGCUCCCCUGAAAUACAUGAGCGAAAUAAAAAGGCCUCUUUGUUGGGUGUGAUAGCUUUAUCUGCAUCCGAGGGGUCGUUUGUGUUCGCUGCUUUGGAUCUCAUUUUG